UGCGCAGGCGGUUUAUUAAGUCAGAUGUGAAAUCCCCGGGCUUAACCUGGGAAUGGCAUUUGAGACUGGUAGGCUAGAGUGUGUCAGAGGGGGGUAGAAUUCCACGUGUAGCAGUGAAAUGCGUAGAGAUGUGGAGGAAUACCGAUGGCGAAGGCAGCCCCCUGGGGUAACACUGACGCUCAUGCACGAAAGCGUGGGGAGCAAACAGGAUUAGAUACCCUGGUAGUCCACGCCCUAAACGAUGUCGACUAGUUGUCGGGUCUUAAUUGACUUGGUAACGCAGCUAACGCGUGAAGUCGACCGCCUGGGGAGUACGGUCGCAAGAUUAAA
Molecule: ribosomal RNA, 330 nt
Filed under: uncultured bacterium
Lineage: Bacteria
Description: bacterial SSU rRNA
Rfam family: Bacterial small subunit ribosomal RNA
Source: RNAcentral